This 508-nucleotide ribosomal RNA is filed under the name uncultured bacterium. RNAcentral describes it as "partial 16S ribosomal RNA". It matches the Rfam family "Bacterial small subunit ribosomal RNA", at positions 28 to 507 of the family's 1533-position model. The record is from RNAcentral.
GACGAACGCUGGCGGCGUGCCUAAUACAUGCAAGUCGAACGCUUCUUUCCUCCCGAGUGCUUGCACUCAAUUGGAAAGAGGAGUGGCGGACGGGUGAGUAACACGUGGGUAACCUACCCAUCAGAGGGGGAUAACACUUGGAAACAGGUGCUAAUACCGCAUAACAGUUUAUGCCGCAUGGCAUAAGAGUGAAAGGCGCUUUCGGGUGUCGUUGAUGGAUGGACCCGCGGUGCAUUAGCUAGUUGGUGAGGUAACGGCUCACCAAGGCCACGAUGCAUAGCCGACCUGAGAGGGUGAUCGGCCACACUGGGACUGAGACACGGCCCAGACUCCUACGGGAGGCAGCAGUAGGGAAUCUUCGGCAAUGGACGAAAGUCUGACCGAGCAACGACGCGUGAGUGAAGAAGGUUUUCGGAUCGUAAAACUCUGUUGUUAGAGAAGAACAAGGACGUUAGUAACUGAACGUCCCCUGACGGUAUCUAACCAGAAAGCCACGGCUAACUACGUG